Molecule: transfer RNA, 58 nt
Filed under: Neotoma lepida (desert woodrat)
Lineage: Eukaryota; Metazoa; Chordata; Mammalia; Rodentia; Cricetidae
Rfam family: tRNA
About the family: Transfer RNA (tRNA) molecules are approximately 80 nucleotides in length.
Source: Rfam by way of RNAcentral
UGGCUCAGUAGAUAAGAGCACUGGAUGCUCUUCCAGAUGACCUGAGUUCAAUUCUCAG